GGGGAUCUAUUUACGUCGGGUUUAGGGUCUAUUUCGGGUCUGGGUUUAAAUUUUGGGUGUUUUGAAAUUGGGCCUCUGUAACUUGGGUUUGUAACUAUGGACUGAUGGACUUUUAAUAAUUUUUGUUUUUAUUUUUAUUUUUUUAUAUAUUUUUGUUUAUUAAUUUCUGAUUUGGGCCGGGAAAAUUUGGGUUAUUACAAUGAACACACAGAUUUUACGUAGAAAUUCUUUUGGGAAAAACCACGGAUAAAGGAGAAGAAAAUUCACUAACACUGAAAUUCGAAU
This 285-nucleotide long non-coding RNA is filed under the name Gossypium raimondii (Peruvian cotton). RNAcentral's name for it is "long non-coding RNA (GRAI_LNC004379)". Lineage: Eukaryota; Viridiplantae; Streptophyta; Magnoliopsida; Malvales; Malvaceae. The record is from RNAcentral.